Molecule: ribosomal RNA, 1404 nt
Filed under: Staphylococcus aureus
Lineage: Bacteria; Bacillati; Bacillota; Bacilli; Caryophanales; Staphylococcaceae
Description: bacterial SSU rRNA
Rfam family: Bacterial small subunit ribosomal RNA
Source: RNAcentral
UGGGAUAACUUCGGGAAACCGGAGCUAAUACCGGAUAAUAUUUUGAACCGCAUGGUUCAAAAGUGAAAGACGGUCUUGCUGUCACUUAUAGAUGGAUCCGCGCUGCAUUAGCUAGUUGGUAAGGUAACGGCUUACCAAGGCAACGAUGCAUAGCCGACCUGAGAGGGUGAUCGGCCACACUGGAACUGAGACACGGUCCAGACUCCUACGGGAGGCAGCAGUAGGGAAUCUUCCGCAAUGGGCGAAAGCCUGACGGAGCAACGCCGCGUGAGUGAUGAAGGUCUUCGGAUCGUAAAACUCUGUUAUUAGGGAAGAACAUAUGUGUAAGUAACUGUGCACAUCUUGACGGUACCUAAUCAGAAAGCCACGGCUAACUACGUGCCAGCAGCCGCGGUAAUACGUAGGUGGCAAGCGUUAUCCGGAAUUAUUGGGCGUAAAGCGCGCGUAGGCGGUUUUUUAAGUCUGAUGUGAAAGCCCACGGCUCAACCGUGGAGGGUCAUUGGAAACUGGAAAACUUGAGUGCAGAAGAGGAAAGUGGAAUUCCAUGUGUAGCGGUGAAAUGCGCAGAGAUAUGGAGGAACACCAGUGGCGAAGGCGACUUUCUGGUCUGUAACUGACGCUGAUGUGCGAAAGCGUGGGGAUCAAACAGGAUUAGAUACCCUGGUAGUCCACGCCGUAAACGAUGAGUGCUAAGUGUUAGGGGGUUUCCGCCCCUUAGUGCUGCAGCUAACGCAUUAAGCACUCCGCCUGGGGAGUACGACCGCAAGGUUGAAACUCAAAGGAAUUGACGGGGACCCGCACAAGCGGUGGAGCAUGUGGUUUAAUUCGAAGCAACGCGAAGAACCUUACCAAAUCUUGACAUCCUUUGACAACUCUAGAGAUAGAGCUUUCCCCUUCGGGGGACAAAGUGACAGGUGGUGCAUGGUUGUCGUCAGCUCGUGUCGUGAGAUGUUGGGUUAAGUCCCGCAACGAGCGCAACCCUUAAGCUUAGUUGCCAUCAUUAAGUUGGGCACUCUAAGUUGACUGCCGGUGACAAACCGGAGGAAGGUGGGGAUGACGUCAAAUCAUCAUGCCCCUUAUGAUUUGGGCUACACACGUGCUACAAUGGACAAUACAAAGGGCAGCGAAACCGUGAGGUCAAGCAAAUCCCAUAAAGUUGUUCUCAGUUCGGAUUGUAGUCUGCAACUCGACUACAUGAAGCUGGAAUCGCUAGUAAUCGUAGAUCAGCAUGCUACGGUGAAUACGUUCCCGGGUCUUGUACACACCGCCCGUCACACCACGAGAGUUUGUAACACCCGAAGCCGGUGGAGUAACCUUUUAGGAGCUAGCCGUCGAAGGUGGGACAAAUGAUUGGGGUGAAGUCGUAACAAGGUAGCCGUAUCGGAAGGUGCGGCUGGAUCACCU